CCCUGGCUCAGGACGAACGCUGGCGGCGUGCCUAAUACAUGCAAGUCGAGCGAAUCAAUAGGAGCUUGCUCCUGUUGAUUAGCGGCGGACGGGUGAGUAACACGUGGGCAACCUGCCUGUAAGACUGGGAUAACACCGGGAAACCGGUGCUAAUACCGGAUAAUCCUUUUCCUCUCAUGAGGAAAAGCUGAAAGUCGGUUUCGGCUGACACUUACAGAUGGGCCCGCGGCGCAUUAGCUAGUUGGUGAGGUAACGGCUCACCAAGGCGACGAUGCGUAGCCGACCUGAGAGGGUGAUCGGCCACACUGGGACUGAGACACGGCCCAGACUCCUACGGGAGGCAGCAGUAGGGAAUCUUCCACAAUGGACGAAAGUCUGAUGGAGCAACGCCGCGUGAGCGAUGAAGGCCUUCGGGUCGUAAAGCUCUGUUGUUAGGGAAGAACAAGUACCGGAGUAACUGCCGGUACCUUGACGGUACCUAACCAGAAAGCCACGGCUAACUA
This 503-nucleotide ribosomal RNA is filed under the name Bacillaceae bacterium BF.95. Its description in RNAcentral is "bacterial SSU rRNA". It matches the Rfam family "Bacterial small subunit ribosomal RNA", at positions 17 to 503 of the family's 1533-position model. Lineage: Bacteria; Bacillati; Bacillota; Bacilli; Caryophanales; Bacillaceae. The record is from RNAcentral.